RNAcentral lists this ribosomal RNA (468 nucleotides) under uncultured bacterium. RNAcentral's name for it is "partial 16S ribosomal RNA". It matches the Rfam family "Bacterial small subunit ribosomal RNA", at positions 28 to 507 of the family's 1533-position model. The record is from RNAcentral.
GACGAACGCUGGCGGCGUGCUUAACACAUGCAAGUCGAACGGAAAGGCCCUGCUUUUGUGGGGUGCUCGAGUGGCGAACGGGUGAGUAACACGUGAGUAACCUGCCCUUGACCUUGGGAUAACUUCAGGAAACUGGGGCUAAUACCGGAUAGGAGCUCCUGCUGCAUGGUGGGGGUUGGAAAGUUUCGGCGGUUGGGGAUGGACUCGCGGCUUAUCAGCUUGUUGGUGGGGUAGUGGCUUUCCAAGGCUUUGACGGGUAGCCGGCCUGGGAGGGUGACCGGCCACAUUGGGACUGAGAUACGGCCCAGACUCCUACGGGAGGCAGCAGUGGGGAAUAUUGCACAAUGGGCGGAAGCCUGAUGCAGCAACGCCGCGUGCGGGAUGACGGCCUUCGGGUUGUAAACCGCUUUCGCCUGUGACGAAGCGUGAGUGACGGUAAUGGGUAAAGAAGCACCGGCUAACUACGUG